RNAcentral lists this ribosomal RNA (280 nucleotides) under uncultured bacterium. RNAcentral describes it as "partial 16S ribosomal RNA". It matches the Rfam family "Bacterial small subunit ribosomal RNA", at positions 338 to 609 of the family's 1533-position model. The record is from RNAcentral.
CCUACGGGGGGCAGCAGUGAGGAAUCUUGCGCAAUGGGCGAAAGCCUGACGCAGCGACGCCGCGUGGAGGAUGAAGGCCUUCGGGUCGUAAACUCCUGUCGAGCGGGACGAAUGCCGGCGGGGUAAACAACCUCGCCGGUUGACGGUACCGCUGGAGGAAGCCCCGGCUAACUCAGUGCCAGCAGCCGCGGUAAUACGGAGGGGGCCAGCGUUGUUCGGAAUUAUUGGGCGUAAAGGGCGCGUAGGCUGCUGCUCAAGUCGGACGUGAAAUCCCUCGGCU